Molecule: ribosomal RNA, 460 nt
Filed under: uncultured bacterium
Lineage: Bacteria
Description: partial 16S ribosomal RNA
Rfam family: Bacterial small subunit ribosomal RNA
Source: RNAcentral
CCUACGGGUGGCAGCAGUGAGGAAUAUUGGUCAAUGGACGCAAGUCUGAACCAGCCAUGCCGCGUGCAGGAAGACGGCUCUAUGAGUUGUAAACUGCUUUUGUACGAGGGUAAACGCAGAUACGCGUAUCUGUCUGAAAGUAUCGUACGAAUAAGGAUCGGCUAACUCCGUGCCAGCAGCAGCGGUAAUACGGAGGAUUCAAGCGUUAUACGGAUUUAUUGGGUUUAAAGGGUGCGUAGGCGGUCGGAUAAGUUAGAGGUGAAAUCCCGAGGCUCAACUUCGGAAUUGCCUCUGAUACUGUUCGUCUAGAGAGUAGUUGCGGUAGGCGGAAUGUAUGGUGUAGCGGUGAAAUGCUUAGAGAUCAUACAGAACACCGAUUGCGAAGGCAGCUUACCAAGCUACUUCUGACGUUGAGGCACGAAAGCGUGGGGAGCAAACAGGAUUAGAUACCCGAGUAGUC